Non-coding RNA from Chelonia mydas (Green sea turtle), 212 nucleotides. The record is from Rfam. NCBI's taxonomy places the organism in Eukaryota, Metazoa, Chordata, Testudines, Cheloniidae.
UCAACAUAGUCAUCCGUUGAGGUUACUUAUGGGUCUGUCCAACUGGUAUAUGGGAGUAUAGCCCUAAGUGCAAUGAUGUACAAUCCCCUUGUGCAGUGUGGAAGAGCAAGCCUGUCCCUGGUUCUAGAGCUGAUGAGGGCAGCAUCCUUUAUAUUCCUAUAACUUCUCAGUCUCUAGACAAUUACUGAGGAGAAACCGUGCAGGGUGCAACU